GGUGAAGUAGGUGAAGUUAAAAGGGAUUAAGAGGUACAAACUUCCAGUUAUAAAAUAAAUAAGUCAAGGGAAUAAAAAGUACAGUAUAGGGAAAAUAGUCAAAGGUAUUGUAAUAACUUUG
Lynx canadensis (Canada lynx) is the source of this 121-nucleotide long non-coding RNA. RefSeq lists it as uncharacterized. The transcript is spliced from 3 exons. NCBI's taxonomy places the organism in Eukaryota, Metazoa, Chordata, Mammalia, Carnivora, Felidae. The record is from RefSeq and is a predicted model, not a curated record.